Molecule: ribosomal RNA, 99 nt
Filed under: uncultured bacterium
Lineage: Bacteria
Description: partial 16S ribosomal RNA
Rfam family: Bacterial small subunit ribosomal RNA
Source: RNAcentral
CCAUGCCGCGUGGGUGAUGAAGGCCCUAGGGUUGUAAAGCCCUUUCGGCGGGGAAGAUAAUGACGGUACCCGCAGAAGAAGCCCCGGCUAACUUCGUGC